CCUACGGGAGGCAGCAGUGAGGAAUAUUGGUCAAUGGGCGCGAGCCUGAACCAGCCAAGUCGCGUGAGGGAUGACGGUCCUACGGGUUGUAAACCUCUUUUUUAAAGGAAUAAAGUCGGGAGCGUGUCCCUUUUUGUAUGUACGUUAUGAAUCCGGAUCGGCUAACUCCGUGCCAGCAGCCGCGGGAAUACGGAGGAUCCGAGCGUUAUCCGGUUUUAUUGGGUUUAAAGGGAGCGGAGCUGGGUUGUUAAGUCAGUUGUGAAAGUUUGCGGCUCAACCGUAAUAGUGCAAUUGAUACUGGCAGUCUUGAGUACAGUAGAGGGAGGCGGAAUUCGAGGUGUAGCGGUGAAAUGCUUAGAUAUCACGAAGAACUCCGAUUGCGAAGGCAGCUUACUAAUCUGCCACUGACGCUGAGGCUCGAAAGCGUGGGUAUCAAACAGGAUUAGAUACCCGAGUAGUC
RNAcentral lists this ribosomal RNA (460 nucleotides) under uncultured bacterium. RNAcentral describes it as "partial 16S ribosomal RNA". It matches the Rfam family "Bacterial small subunit ribosomal RNA", at positions 338 to 795 of the family's 1533-position model. The record is from RNAcentral.